UACGUAGGGACCGAGCGUUGUCCGGAUUCAUUGGGCGUAAAGAGCUCGUAGGCGGCCACUCAAGUCGAAUGUGAAACCUCGAGGCUUAACCUCGAGCCUGCAUUCGAUACUGGGCGGCUAGAGUCUGGUAGGGGGAUCUGGAAUUCCUGGUGUAGCGGUGGAAUGCGCAGAUAUCAGGAGGAACACCGGUGGCGAAGGCGGGAUCCUGGGCCAGUACUGACGCUGAGGAGCGAAAGCGUGGGUAGCAAACAGG
Molecule: ribosomal RNA, 253 nt
Filed under: uncultured bacterium
Lineage: Bacteria
Description: partial 16S ribosomal RNA
Rfam family: Bacterial small subunit ribosomal RNA
Source: RNAcentral